Non-coding RNA from Cordylochernes scorpioides, 72 nucleotides. The record is from the annotation of a GenBank genome assembly. NCBI's taxonomy places the organism in Eukaryota, Metazoa, Arthropoda, Arachnida, Pseudoscorpiones, Chernetidae.
GUUUGGUGGUCGAGUGGUAUAAAACGUUGACUCCCGACAGCAACGACCUGGGUUCGAACCCCGCAUUGGACA